Molecule: ribosomal RNA, 433 nt
Filed under: uncultured bacterium
Lineage: Bacteria
Description: partial 16S ribosomal RNA
Rfam family: Bacterial small subunit ribosomal RNA
Source: RNAcentral
AACGAACGCUGGCGGCAUGCCUAACACAUGCAAGUCGAACGAUCCCUUCGGGGGUUGUGGCGCACGGCUUCGUAACGCGUGGGAACCUGCCCUUAGGUUCGGAAUAACUCAGAGAAUUUGGAGCUAAUACCGGAUAAUGUCUUCUGACCAAGGAUUUAUCGCCUUUGGUUGGGCGCGCGUUGGAUUAGCUGGUGGGUAGGGUAAAGGCCUACCACGGCGACGAUCCAUAGCUGGUCUGAGAGGAUGGUCAGCCACUCUGAGAGUGAGAAACGGCCCAGAAUCCUACGGGAGGGAGGAGUGGGGGAUAUUGCAACAUGGGGGAAGGCAUGAUGGAGCAAUGCCGCGUGAGUGAUGAAGGCAUUAGGGUUGUAAAGCUCUUUUAACCAGGAUGGUAAUGACGGUACCGGAAGAAUAAGCCCCGGCUAACUACGUG